UUUUCUUCUUUUUUUUUCAGCCUGCGUGAGACAAGGGGAGUGACCUUCCGUCCCCUUCGAACAGCGAGCUUCUGUGCUGGUUGGGCUGGAUCUUGUUUUUCACCGCGCUCGCAAACACUUCAGACACCUCCGCUAGAUGGUUAAUUUGAACACUUGGUAGCUGGGGUACAAUUAGGGAACGCCUGCCGACUGCCGAUAUCGACACGCAUCCUGUGUAAGCGAGUGCCGGCACAAUUACUAUGCGCAUGCCGCCUAUACUUGGUAUACGCGAGGUAUCAUUGACAGCACUUGUUUUCGGCCACCGCAGAGAAAUUAUCAGCUUUGUGCGCGCGACUCCUUUCCGCCCCGACGCAUAUAUAAAUUCCAAUUAUGUUGCGUCGGUCUAGUCCGCCCUUGGAAGCUGUAGGCUCUGGUCCACAAGUCAUCCAUUGAAGUUACCGAGGUCUGCCUUCGUCCAGAUAUGAGGUUUUUCUGCGUUACAUGUGUCGUUGUGCUCUUGGCCGUCGGUGUGGCCCUGAGCUUCGGAACCGUGGAGGAAAGCCAGGAGGCACAUCUUCGAGUCCGUCGUGGAACUGGUUGUCCGGACCUUCCCGCGUGUGUUAGAAGCUGCCAGAGCGAGGGAAAGAGAGGUGGCAUUUGCCUGCCACCUUUCCUUGUGUUCUGUCUUUGUAUCUAGAGAAUCACUGUGCGCGGCACGGUUGGUACUCAAGUCUAGCUCAUGGUCUCUGGCCUACAUUCGUCGAGGCGCUGCCUUGGCACGUGGCAAUAAAAGAUUGAAUGAAUUCAUGAA
This is an RNA transcript of Dermacentor andersoni, 790 nucleotides long. RefSeq lists it as uncharacterized. The record is from RefSeq and is a predicted model, not a curated record. Lineage: Eukaryota; Metazoa; Arthropoda; Arachnida; Ixodida; Ixodidae.